CGGAGUAUAGCGCAGCUUGGUAGCGCGCUUGGUUCGGGACCAAGAGGUCGCAGGUUCGAAUCCUGUUACUCCGACCA
RNAcentral lists this transfer RNA (77 nucleotides) under Fodinisporobacter ferrooxydans. Its description in RNAcentral is "Alicyclobacillaceae bacterium MYW30-H2 tRNA-Pro". It matches the Rfam family "tRNA". From Rfam's summary of the family: Transfer RNA (tRNA) molecules are approximately 80 nucleotides in length. Their secondary structure includes four short double-helical elements and three loops (D, anti-codon, and T loops). Lineage: Bacteria; Bacillati; Bacillota; Bacilli; Caryophanales; Alicyclobacillaceae. The record is from RNAcentral.